GAAGAAGCACAAAGGAACAGAAAUGAGCAGCAAGGAGCAGGAAGGGUCAGCAAGGAGCAGGAAGGGUCAGCAGGAAGGGGCAGAAAGGGUUAGCAAGGAGCUGGAAAGGGCAGCAAAGAGCAGGAAGGGACAGAAGGAGCACAAAUGUAAAGAAGGAGAAGGAGCAGAAAUGAGCAGGAAGGGUCUGCAAGGGGCAGCAAGGAGCAGGAAGGGUCUGCAAGGAGAAGGAAGGGUCUGCAAAGAGCAGAAAGGGACAGAAGUAGCACAAAGGUAAAGGAGCAGAAGGAGCACAAAGUUAAAGUAGGAGAAGGAGCAGAAAAGGGUAGCAAGGACCAGAAAGGGAUCAGAA
This is a non-coding RNA of Pelobates cultripes (western spadefoot toad), 349 nucleotides long. NCBI's taxonomy places the organism in Eukaryota, Metazoa, Chordata, Amphibia, Anura, Pelobatidae. The record is from the annotation of a GenBank genome assembly.